UACAGAGACUGCAAGCGUUAUUCGGAUUCACUGGGCGUAAAGGGUGCGCAGGCGGCCAGGUGUGUGAGGCGUGAAAGCCCGGGGCUUAACCCCGGAAUUGCACCUCAAACUACAUGGCUAGAGCAUUGGAGAGGGUAGCAGAAUUCAUGGUGUAGCAGUGAAAUGCGUAGAUAUCAUGAGGAAGACCAGAGGCGAAGGCGGCUACCUGGACAAUUGCUGACGCUCAGGCACGAAAGCGUGGGGAGCAAAAGGG
Molecule: ribosomal RNA, 253 nt
Filed under: uncultured bacterium
Lineage: Bacteria
Description: partial 16S ribosomal RNA
Rfam family: Bacterial small subunit ribosomal RNA
Source: RNAcentral